CCCUUAGAUGUCCUGGGCCGCACGCGCGCUACACUGAUGCAUUCAACGAGUGACCUUAGCCGAGAGGCCUGGGCAAUCUUUUGAACGUGCAUCGUGAUAGGGAUAGAUUAUUGCAAUUAUUAAUCUUGAACGAGGAAUUCCUAGUAAACGCAGAUCAUCAUUCUGCAUUGAUUACGUCCCUGCCCUUUGUACACACCGCCCGUCGCUCCUACCGAUUGGGUGUGCUGGUGAAAUGUUCGGAUCGGCCGUUUGUCGCGGUUUCCGCGUCAUGUGGCUGAGAAGUUCAUUAAACCCUCCCACCUAGAGGAAGGAGAAGUCGUAACA
RNAcentral lists this ribosomal RNA (324 nucleotides) under uncultured eukaryote. Its description in RNAcentral is "partial 18S ribosomal RNA". It matches the Rfam family "Eukaryotic small subunit ribosomal RNA", at positions 1470 to 1796 of the family's 1831-position model. The record is from RNAcentral.